This 73-nucleotide transfer RNA is filed under the name Bacteroidota bacterium. RNAcentral describes it as "tRNA-Ala". It matches the Rfam family "tRNA". Rfam says of the family: Transfer RNA (tRNA) molecules are approximately 80 nucleotides in length. Their secondary structure includes four short double-helical elements and three loops (D, anti-codon, and T loops). Further hydrogen bonds mediate the characteristic L-shaped molecular structure. tRNAs have two regions of fundamental functional importance: the anti-codon, which is responsible for specific mRNA codon recognition, and the 3' end, to which the tRNAs corresponding amino acid is attached (by aminoacyl-tRNA synthetases). tRNAs cope with the degeneracy of the genetic code in two manners: having more than one tRNA (with a specific anti-codon) for a particular amino acid; and 'wobble' base-pairing, i.e. permitting non-standard base-pairing at the 3rd anti-codon position. The record is from RNAcentral. Lineage: Bacteria; Pseudomonadati; Bacteroidota.
GGGCCGUUAGCUCAGCUGGGAGAGCGCUUGAAUGGCAUUCAAGAGGUCGGCGGUUCGAUCCCGCUACGGUCCA